RNAcentral lists this ribosomal RNA (372 nucleotides) under uncultured organism. RNAcentral describes it as "bacterial SSU rRNA". It matches the Rfam family "Bacterial small subunit ribosomal RNA", at positions 526 to 896 of the family's 1533-position model. The record is from RNAcentral.
CGGAGGGUGCGAGCGUUGUCCGGAAUCACUGGGCGUAAAGGGCGCGUAGGCGGCGCGGUAAGCGGGCGGUGAAAGCCCGGGGCUCAACCCCGGGUCGGCCGUGCGGACUGCCGCGCUGGAGCACUGUAGAGGCGGGCGGAAUUCCGGGUGUAGCGGUGGAAUGCGUAGAGAUCCGGAAGAACACCGGUGGCGAAGGCGGCCCGCUGGGCAGUGGCUGACGCUGAGGCGCGACAGCGUGGGGAGCAAACAGGAUUAGAUACCCUGGUAGUCCACGCCGUAAACGAUGGGCACUAGGUGCCUGGGGGAGCGACCCCCCGGGUGCCGGCGCUAACGCAUUAAGUGCCCCGCCUGGGGAGUACGGCCGCAAGGCUG